GAGCACUCUGCUGCUACCCCCCAGUAUAAGGCACUCUGCUGCUAUUCCCCCCAGUAUGAGGCACUCUUCUGCUACCCCCAAGUAUGGGGCAAUCUGCUGCUAUUCCCCCCAAUAUGAGGCACUCUGCUAUCCCUCCAGUAUGAGUCACUCUGCUAUCCCCCCAGUAUGAGUCACUCUGCUAUCCCCCCAGUAUGAGGCACUCUGCUGCUGUCUCCCUAAUAAUGAGUACCAAAGGAGAAGUUUGCUGCUGAUUCUCCCACAGGGAUUUUGAUGCCCCCCCCUUCCCCCCAGUACAGGGUGUUUUGCUGUUGACCCCAGUUAGGGGUAUUUUGAUAUUAUUCUCCCCCCAGUAAGGGGGUGUUUUGAUAUUAUUCUCCCCCAGUAAGGGGGUGUUUUGAUAUUAUUCUCCCCCCAGUAUGGGGGUGUUUUGAUAUUAUUCUCCCCCAGUAAGGGGGUGUUUUGAUAUUAUUCUCCCCCCAGUAAGGAGGUGUUUUGAUAUUAUUCUCCCCCCAGUAAGGGGGUGUUUUGAUAUUAUUCUCCCCCAGUAAGGGGGUGUUUUGAUAUUAUUCUCCCCCCAGUAAGGGGGUGUUUUGAUAUUAUUCUCCCCCAGUAAGGGGGUGUUUUGAUAUUAUUCCCCCCCAGUAAGGGGGUGUUUUGAUAUUAUUCUCCCCCCAGUAAGGGGUGUUUUGAUAUUAUUCCCCCCCAGUAAGGGGGUGUUUUGAUAUUAUUCUCCCCCAGUAAGGGGGUGUUUUGAUAUUAUUCUCCCCCAGUAAGGGGGUGUUUUGAUAUUAUUCUCCCCCAGUAAAGGGGUGUUUUGAUAUUAUUCUCCCCCAGUAAGGGGGUGUUUUGAUAUUAUUCUCCCCCAGUAAGGGGUGCUAUGCCCAUUACAGGUAUUCAGCCUUUAAGCAGCCUGUUGCUGGUACUGGGGUGUCUUGCUGUUGGGGGUCCCUGUCUGCCCACCUGGGGGUCCUUCCUUGCAUCCCUGAGCACGUGCUCCCCCCUCCCUCACUGACAUGCCGUCUCCAUGGAAACCCCAGGACGCAGCCCCUCUCCGUAAUCUUGUUUAUGGUCUCUGCAGCCGGCUCACAGUGUGCGGGACAGCGACACCUAGCGGCCAACUAUCCCACUGCAGCACAGACACCUAGUGCAUACAGACAACAAGGAACAACUGCAGUGACUGCGGGGAGUAAAGGGUUAAUACUGACUGACUGCGGGGAGUAAAGGGUUAAUACUGACUGACUGCGGGGAGUAAAGGGUUAAUGCUGACUGACUGCGGGGAGUAAAGGGUUAAUACUGACUGACCGCGGGGAGUAAAGGGUUAAUACGGACUGACUGCGGGGAAUAAAGGGUUAAUACUGACUGACUGCGGGGAGUAAAGGGUUAAUACUGACUGACUGCGGGGAAUAAAGGGUUAAGACUGACUGCCUGCGGGGAGUAAAGGGUUAAUACUGAUGGACUGCAGAGAGUAAAGGGUUAAUACUGACUGACUGCGGAGAGUAAAGGGUUAAUACUGACUGACUGCGGAGAGUAAAGGGUUAAUACUGACUGACUGCUGGGAUUAAAGGGUUAAUACUGACUGACUGCGGGGAGUAAAGGGUUAAUACUGACUGACUGCGGGGAUUAAAGGGUUAAUACUGUCUGACUGCGAGGAGUAAAGGGUUAAUACUGAUGGACUGCGGAGAGUAAAGGGUUAAUACUGACUGACUGCGGGGAUUAAAGGGUUAAUACUGACUGACUGCGGGGAGUAAAGGGUUAAUACUGACUGACUGACUGCGGGGAUUAAGGGGUUAAUACUGACUGACUGCGGGGAGUAAAGGGUUAAUACUGACGGCGGGGAGUAAAGAGUUAAUACCGAUUGACUGACUGCGGGGAGUAAAGGGUUAAUACUGACUGCGGGGAGUAAAGGGUUAAUCCUGACUGACUGCGGGGAUUAAAGGGUUAAUACUGACAGACUGACUGCGGGGAGUAAAGGGUUAAUACUGAUGGACUGCGGAGAGUAAAGGUUUAAUACUGACUCACUGACUACGGGGAGUAAAGGGUUAAUACUGACUGACUGACUGCGGGGAUUAAAGGGUUAAUACUGACUGACUGCGGGGAGUAAAGGGUUAAUACUGACUGCGGGGAUUAAAGGGUUAAUACUGACUGACUAUGGGGAGUAAAGGGUUAAAACUGACUGCGGGGAGUAAAGGCUUAAUACCAACUGACUGACUGCGGGGAGUAAAGGGUUAAUACUGACUGCGGGGAGUAAAGGGUUAAUACUGACUGACUGCAGGGAGUAAAGGGUUAAUACUGACUGACUGACUGCGGGGAGUAAAGGGUCAAUACUGACUGACUGCGGGGAGUAAAGGGUUAAUACUGACUGACUGCGGAGAGUAAAGGGUUCAUACUGACUGACUGCGGGGAGUAAAGGGCUAAUACUGACUGACUGCGGAGAGUAAAGGGUUAAUACUGACUGACUGCGGAGAGUAAAGGGUUAAUACUGACUGACUGCGGGGAGUUAAGAGCUAAAACUGACUGCAGGGAGUAAAGGGUUAAUACUGACUGACUGCGGGGAGUAAAGCGUUAAUACUGACUGCAGGGAGUAAAGGGUUAAUACUGACUGACUGAAGGGAGUAAAGGGUUUAUACUGACUAACUGACUGUGGGGAGUUAAGAGCUAAAACUGACUGCGGGGAGUAAAGGGUUAAUACUGACUGACUGUGGAGAGUAAAGGGUUAAUACUGACUGACUGCAGGGAGUAAAGGGUUAAUACUGACUGACUGUGGGCAGUUAAGCGCUAAUACUGACUGCGGGGAGUAAAGGCUUAAUACUGACUGACUGCGGGGAGUAAAGGGUUAAUACUAACGGACUAACUGCGGGGAGUACAGGGUUAAUACUGACUGACUGCGGGGAGUAAAGGGUUAAUACUAACUUACUGACUGCUGGGAGUAAAGGGUUAAUACUGACUGACUGCGGGGAGUAAAGGGUUAAUACUGACUGUGGGGAGUAAAGAGUUAAUACUCACUGAAUAACUGCGGGGAGUAAAGGGUUAAUACUCACUGACUGACUGCGGGGAGUAAAGGGUUAAUACUGACUGACUGCGGGAAGUAAAUGGUUAAUACUGACUGCGGGGAGUAAAGGGUUAAUACUGACUGACUGUGGAGAGUAAAGGGUUAAUACGGACUGACUGCGAGUAGUAAAGGGUUAAUACUGACUGACUAACUGCGGGGAGUAAAGGGUUAAUACGGACUGACUGCGGAGAGUAAAGGGUUAACACUGACUUACUAACUGCGGGGAGUAAAGGGUUAAUACUCACUGACUGCGGAGAGUAAAGGGUUAAUACUGACUGACUAACUGCGGGGAGUAAAGGGUAAAUACUGACUGUAUUGUAUAGUGAUUCUGUGUAUUACAGGGCGAUAUAAUGGGCUGGAUGUAAUGUAUAGUGAAACUGUGAAUUACAAGGUGAUAUAAUGGGUUGAAUGAAAUGUAUGGCGAUACUGUGUAUUACAGGGUGAUAUAAUGGGUUGGAUGAAAUGUAUAGCGAUACUGUGUAUUACAGGUUGAUAUAAUGGGUUGGAUGAAAUGUAUAGCGAUACUGUGUAUUACAGGUUGAUAUAAUGGGUUGGAUGAAAUGUAUAGCGAUACUGUGUAUUACUGGGUGAUAUAAUGGGUUGGAUGUAAUGUAUAGCGAUACUGUGUAUUACAGGGUGAUAUAAUGGGUUGGAUGUAAUGUAUAGUGAUACUGUGUAUUACAGGGUGAUAUAAUGGGUUGGAUGUAAUGUAUAGUGAUACUGUGUAUUACAGGGUGAUAUCAUGGGUUGGAUGUAAUGUAUAGCGAUGCUGUGUAUUACAGGGUGAUAUAAUGGGUUGGAUGAAAUGUAUAGCGAUACUGUGUAUUACAGGGUGAUAUCAUGGGUUGGAUGUAAUGUAUAGUGAUUCUGUGUAUUACAGGGUGAUUUAAUGGGCUGGUUGUAAUGUAUAGUGAUACUGUGUAUUACUGGGUGAUAUAUUGGGUUUGGGGUAAUAUAUAGUGAUAAUUUGUAUUAUAGCGUAACGUUAUAAGAGUUAUAGGUGCAGUGGCGGAACUACCACAGUCGCAGGGGGUCGUAGCUGCAACACAGGCCCAUCACUUCAGGGGGCCUGGCCGCCCUGCUGACCCUACAACCGUGGGCCACCAAGAGGAGCACUGUCACGGGGGCGGCGCACCUAGGGCACUUCCGAAUUGGGGCUUGUGCAGUGAGGCAGAUUAAGCACCUGCUUGCCUGGAUGGCAGGUGCCUACUCUGCCGAUAUAUAUCAAAGGGAGGCGGUAAGGGAGCAUUGAUCUGACAGUUCCUCUGACAGGUGGGAG
This 4328-nucleotide long non-coding RNA is filed under the name Pelobates cultripes (western spadefoot toad). The record is from RNAcentral. Lineage: Eukaryota; Metazoa; Chordata; Amphibia; Anura; Pelobatidae.